Molecule: ribosomal RNA, 272 nt
Filed under: uncultured Staphylococcus sp.
Lineage: Bacteria; Bacillati; Bacillota; Bacilli; Caryophanales; Staphylococcaceae
Description: partial 16S ribosomal RNA
Rfam family: Bacterial small subunit ribosomal RNA
Source: RNAcentral
CGUUAGCGGCGGACGGGUGAGUAACACGUGGGUAACCUACCUAUAAGACUGGGAUAACUUCGGGAAACCGGAGCUAAUACCGGAUAAUAUUUCGAACCACAUGGUUCGAUAGUGAAAGAUGGUUUUGCUAUCACUUAUAGAUGGACCCGCGCCGUAUUAGNUAGUUGGUAAGGUAACGGCUUACCAAGGCGACGAUACGUAGCCGACCUGAGAGGGUGAUCGGCAACACUGGAACUGAGACACGGUCCAGACUCCUACGGGAGGCAGCAGCA